Molecule: non-coding RNA, 1970 nt
Filed under: Pongo abelii (Sumatran orangutan)
Lineage: Eukaryota; Metazoa; Chordata; Mammalia; Primates; Hominidae
Source: RNAcentral
CCGAGUAACUGGGACUACAGGCGCCCCCACCAUGUCCAGCUAAUGUUUUUGUAUUUUUAGUAGAGACAGGGUUUCACCGUGUUAGCCAGGAUGGUCUCGAUCCCCUGAUCUCGUGAUCCGCCCGCCUCGGCCUCCCAAGGUGCUGAGAUUACAGGCGUGAGCCACCGUGCCUGGCCGAUGUCACCCACGUUUCUUAGGAAAGACGUUAGCAGUCUCUAAAUCCUCACCAACUGUGCCUGGCAGAGCAUUAUUUUGCAGCUUUCUGGGAUUUACAGUUGGCAUCAUUUGCACAGCGGCAGCGUGACGUGGCUGUGGAGAGCACGGAAGCCCUGUCCCCAGGGAAGUGGGCUCUUCUGGUUGCAACAUGGUGGAGGCCAGCCCGGCCGCAGGUGAGGGCAGGUGCCACAGCAAACCUCUGAGCAACCAAGAAGACAAGCACCUGCUUGGAAAAGGAGACAAGCCACAAGGCCAUGGGCCCAGUUAUAAGGAUGAAUUGUGUUACAGGAAUGGUUAUAAACCUGACCGACCUCAGAAGGUAUAUGGAGGAGGCAAUUUUCAAGCCCUCUGAUGGUCUGUGGUUGGAUGCGCCAUACUUUGCCAACGGUGUGAGCAUGGCAGAAAACGUAGUGGCUUUUUGAUGGCAGCAGCUGGACGCCUUCAUCCUGAUGGGUGUCUUCUUUUUUCCUGACUGGGGUAAGUUGAGGAGUCCUCAAUCCUUCAAGCCUUUCUUCAUGUUUUUCUAAGUUGGGCUUCCUAGAGUUCUCACUCUUGUGAGUAGGGGGAAACAUUGGCCUUUGGAUCUUGCAUGAGCCUUGACAGUUUUGGUUCCUGGGCUCCUUGUGCCCCAGGUUGCUCCUUCUGGCUGCCAUGAGGUCACGUAGCUCCUGGGAUGCCUGCAUGUUCCCGGUGGGCAUGCUCUGGAGAUGGCCCUGGGGCACUUGAGAAGCCAAAUUCUCUGAAGCAUGGGGCACAACAGAUGCUUGCCCAUCUGGAAGGAGCGCAACAGCGGCACAAACUUGAGGCUGGGUCUUUGACUUUGUGGCCUUUCCAGGCUCAAAUUCACUAACAACCUCCUCCAUAAGACGCAGCUUUCUUGGAUCUUGGGAGACAGACACUCCAGGGAGUAGAGAGCUUUUGCUGGUCCCUGGAGCCUCGAAACCAUGCACAUCCUCACUUGUGGCUUGGAGGUUUGCCAGCAUACAGGUUUCCAAGGGGACUCUGCAUUGUGGCACUGCCUCCCUUGUCUCUCCAGGCUUUGAAGAUUGGGCUCCUAAGCUCCUGCUCUGCUGUGUGCUGCCUGUGAAGCUGUAUGUGAGGGGCUUAGAUGGCCUCCUGCCCUCCUGUCCAGCUGGAGGAGCCUUCAAGGGCCCCUGAUCAUUCCAAGAUGGGAUUCCUCGCGGGGCCCUCUGGAACUGCUUACAUGCAGGUGAGGAGGCCAGAAGACUCUCUGGCAUGUGAACAGAUGCUUCGGUCAGCACCUGCUUUCUCAGACUUGCCAUUGGUGGCUUUCUAAGGAAUGUGGCCACCUCAACUUCUGAGCCAGCCCCAGAUUCACAGGUGGCUGAGGAGGGACCGGCAAGCUGUGUUAGGGACAAGGAUGAAACCUUUUCCAGUUUAAAGCACUGAAUGGGCUUGAGGACCCUGAGGGGUAGACCCCACCUGUGUUUGGCCCAAAACCUCACAAUAUGGGCUCCCAGCACCUGCUGAGUACACGGUUCGAGGAAGGAAAGCACCUUGGCCGUGUUCACACAGGCUUUCCCACUUUUCGGGGCCGCUAGAUUGCUGGUUUUCACGUGGGUGUCGGAAAUGGGAAAAGCCUGGUCGACAGCAAGCCAGGAUCGACGCACACUUACGGGGAUCAAGCCCUCGUUGGUCUGGCCCAACUUCCUGCCCAUGUGGGCUUUCAGGAUGUUUUCUAUAUGAGUCUUCUCUGUGCAUCUUAAUAAGUCACUUCCCAAGUUGCUCCUCAA